AUAUUCCUAAGGAAAAAUAGACAUGCAAGUCACACAUGGUCCAAAUAAUAAUCUGCCUUCAUUUAGGAGUUAAGUUUAACAUUUGUUAAAAAAAAUUAUUUUGUUCUUAAAAUAAAGUUGGAUCUUUAUAUUAGAGACCAGAAUAAAUUCCAACUACAUCAAAGAUCCAAAUGUGAAAGAUGAAGCCAUAGAAGCACUAGAAUGGACUGUGGUCACACCCUCUGACUCAGGAGAUUCUUCCUAUAUGUGAUUUGAAAACCAGAAACACUGAAAGGAAAGAUUUAAAAUUUACUGCAAGUUUUUAAAAGAAAGUGCAAAAUUAAACGACAUGAAAAAGAAGGAGAAAGUAACUUAUGCUACAGAUGAAAGGCAAAUAUACAAAGACUUCCUAAGAAUCUAGGAGCAAAAUGGAAAAUGCUGGAUUACAUUCAUAAGAAAAAUGCAAAUCGAAACCUUACUGGCAUACCACUUUUUACUUGUAAGAUUUGCAAAACAAAACAAAACAAAACAAAAAUCCAGAAGCUCAUUAACAUAUUCUAAUGGUGAGCCUGGACCAAUCAAAUAACACUGAAGGGAAUGCAAAAUGGUGCACCCCCUCUGGAGAGGAAUUUGGCUAUAUCCAGCAAAAUUACAUAUGCACUUUACUCUUUGCACUCACUCAGCAUUCCCACUCCUCUGAUUUUAUCCCAAAGUUAAACUGGAAAAAAACACAAAAUGACAUUUACACAAACUUAUCUUUUGUGGCAUUAUUUUUAGUAGUAAGAGUGGAAGCAAUCAAAUGUCAGUAAGGAACUGAUUCAAUAAAAUAUAGUAUAUCCACAUAAUAUUCAUUUAUAAAAAGGAAUGAAGAAAUUCUCUACAUACUGAUGUGGAGUGAUAUACUGAUACUUUUAUAAAGCAAAGAGUAGAAAAAAUAUACAUACCCCAUACAUGCAGUUUGGUUUGACCCCUCCAAAGCUCGUGUUGAAAUCUGAUCCCCAGUGUUGGAGGUCGUGCUUAAUGGGAGGUGUUUGGGUCAUGUCAUGGGGGCAGACCAUUCAUUAAUAUCCUCUUUAGGCUCUUUAGGAUCAGGGGACUGAGUGAGUUCUUGUUCUAUUCUUAGAAGAACUGGUUGUUUAAAAAAAAAAAAAAAAAAAAA
Sapajus apella (tufted capuchin) is the source of this 1138-nucleotide long non-coding RNA. RefSeq lists it as uncharacterized. The transcript has 2 exons. NCBI's taxonomy places the organism in Eukaryota, Metazoa, Chordata, Mammalia, Primates, Cebidae. The record is from RefSeq and is a predicted model, not a curated record.